Molecule: ribosomal RNA, 590 nt
Filed under: Usnea ceratina
Lineage: Eukaryota; Fungi; Ascomycota; Lecanoromycetes; Lecanorales; Parmeliaceae
Description: eukaryotic LSU rRNA
Rfam family: Eukaryotic large subunit ribosomal RNA
Source: RNAcentral
AUUGACCUCGGAUCAGGUAGGGAUACCCGCUGAACUUAAGCAUAUCAAUAAGCGGAGGAAAAGAAACCAACAGGGAUUGCCUCAGUAACGGCGAGUGAAGCGGCAACAGCUCAAAUUUGAAAUCUGGCCCCGUCGGGGUCCGAGUUGUAAUUUGUAGAGAGUGUUUCGGGUGAGACCGCGGUCUAAGUCUAUUGGAACAUGGCGUCAUAGAGGGUGAGAAUCCCGUAUGUGACCGUGGUUCGAGCCCAUGUGAAGCCUCUUCGACGAGUCGAGUUGUUUGGGAAUGCAGCUCAAAAUGGGUGGUAAAUUUCAUCUAAAGCUAAAUACUGGCUGGAGACCGAUAGCGCACAAGUAGAGUGAUCGAAAGAUGAAAAGCACUUUGGAAAGAGAGUCAAAAAGUACGUGAAAUUGUUGAAAGGGAAGCGCUUGCAACCAGACCUGUCCGUAGGUGAUCAGCCGCUGUUCUCAGCGGUGCACUCGCUCUGCGAUCAGGCCAGCAUCGGUUUCGGCGGUCGGAUAAAGGCCUUGGGAAUGUAGCUUCCUUCGGGGAGUCUUAUAGCCCUCGGUGCAAUGCGGCCAGCCGGGACCCA